This is an RNA transcript of Trichoplusia ni (cabbage looper), 3812 nucleotides long. It is a transcript of the gene named death-associated inhibitor of apoptosis 2, with no coding region annotated. The record is from RefSeq and is a predicted model, not a curated record. Lineage: Eukaryota; Metazoa; Arthropoda; Insecta; Lepidoptera; Noctuidae. The transcript has 12 exons.
UUUGUAAUAUUUAUAUAAUUUUAUCUCUCAUAACAAAUUUAAAAAUAAGUUUUCUUCUGUGGACUUUAAUUACCCCACGUCUCUAUUUUGAACAGACAUUUGAUUUGACAUUUGCAGCUAUGUUGGCAGCACUGCAAAUUGAUUCAUUUAUUCUUAUUGAUUUGUCUGUGUUUAUUUCGUCGUAAUAUUUUUAAUUAUUAUCUAAAUAUCUAAUUAUUUAGUAAUACGUGUGAUACAUUCUUGUGCAUUUCUUUCACUAAACAAAUAACACACAGUACGAGUAAGAAUCAAGUUUUGAAUACCUGUAGCUUAUAGUUUAUCAUUUCAACCUGUGCAAUUGUGUUCACCUUAUUUUAAAAUGAAUUUUGAAGCUAAUAGGCUUAAUACAUUUAACAAUUGGCCUUCAUCAGCACCCGUAGAUCCUAUAAGGAUUGCAAAAGCAGGAUUUUUUUCAACCGGCGAAGGGACAGAAGUGAAGUGCUUUUGUUGUGGUAAUAAAAUAUCGCAGUGGAACUAUGGGGACCAGGUGAUGUGGAGACACAGGCAACUGAAGCCUGACUGCCCGUUCGUGUUGCAACCUGAGCUGUCAGGGAAUGUGCCGUUAGUGCUAGGGCAAGAGCAAAGGGCUAGUGUUACUACCACUAACCAAGCCCAGAGUUCUGAGGACGUACAGAAUGACCAUACAUACACAGCACAUGACUAUGGACUAACUGAAGAAGAUGAAACAUAUCAGAAUGAUGCUUUGCGACUUCUCUCAUUUGUUAAUUGGGAUGAUACUUUGGUCUCCCGAGAGGCACUGGUCUAUGCGGGCUUCUACCACGCAGGGGAAGGAAGACUCCGCUGUGCCUGGUGUGGAGGCCAAUUGGAAUACUUCAAUCAUUUUAGAUUGGAGCCACCCCUAGAAGUACAUAGAAUGUAUUUCCCUCGUUGUCAGCGCCCUGAUCAGGUCCAGGCAACUACAAACUUCUCUGAACCGUCUUCGCCGUCACAGACUCCGUCGCCGCCUAGUGAGGAGACUCGGGCCGAAACACCACCCUUGAAUAAUCAACCUCAAUCGAUGGGCAUUUUAUGUCAUAAUGAAUACGAGAGACUGAUCAGACUGAGAGAGAGCAAAGGCUUUGCUGAGGAAAGGUCCGGUGCAGCCCACAACGAGCGUGUGCUAAGCGAGGGCGGUACGUGGCGCAACCUGGGCGUGGUGGGCAGCGGCGCGCGCCACCCGCAGUACGCGUGCCUUAACGAGCGCCUCGGCAGCUUCGCGCGCUGGCCCGCCGACCGGCCGCAGGCGCCGCGGGCGCUGGCCGAGGCCGGCUUCUUCCAUACCGGGACUGAUGACCAGGUCCGUUGCUUCUACUGCGAUGGCGGUCUGGGCAAGUGGGAGGCGGGAGACACCCCGUGGUCAGAGCACGCGUUCUGGUUCCCUCACUGCGGAUACGUCAUACUCGUCAAGGGACAGGAGUUCAUUGAUGCCACGAGACGACGACAUGCAGUCAAGCACACUGUGAGCAUAUCCGCAGAACGUUCAAGACAACGAAAUGCAGCAGGCAACAUUACUAUUACAGAAAGUCAGGUAGAAGAAUGUAUGGAAAGCGCUAUAGCGGCGGCUGCUUUGGGCGCUGGUUUGGACGCAGCUCGAGUGCGCAGGGCAAUAGCAAAGAGGUUGCGAAAUACUGGUGUUCCAUUUACGUCAUCAGAAGCAUUGAUAGAUGCAGUGUUAGAUGAACAAUUGAACGAAGAGCCUUGGGGCGUAUCGCAACAAAGUCGCCUUGCACGGGAUAUACUCGCUGAAACAUUCGGUGAUUUUCCUAACCCAAUGAGACGUAAUGCGGCUAAUCAAAUGGACCGGCUAGCGGAGAGUGAAUCAGAACCGGAAAGUGAAGACGAUCACCCACCUCCCAGUAGUCCGCCGCCCAGACAAACUCAACCUGCAGCACCAACAAGCAAACCCCCCGAGAAUACCAGUUCUACAGAAAACGUAGAAAGUACUCAAGAACCCGAAGGAAAGAAAUUAUCUUUAGAAGAAGAGAAUAGACAGCUAAAAGAAGCUAGAUUAUGUAAAGUGUGCAUGGAUUCGGAGGUGAGCGUGGUGUUCCUGCCGUGCGGGCACAUGGUGUCGUGCGGCCGCUGCGGCGCGGCGCUGGGCGCGUGUCCGCUCUGCCGCGCGGCUGUACGCGCGCUCGUGCGGGCCUACCUCGCCUGACCCGCCACGCCCUGCCGCGCACAGGUACUGCAGCCUUGUGUAGUAGUGAGCCUAGUGUUCCUGCCGGGCGCGCGCUCGUGCGGGCCUACCUCGCCUGACCCGCCACGCCCUGCCGCGCACAGGUACUGCAGCCUUGUGUAGUAGUGAGCCUAGUGUUCCUGCAGGGCGCGCGCUCGUGCGGGCCUACCUCGCCUGACCCGCCACGCCCUGCCGCGCACAGGUACUGCAGCCUUGUGUAGUAGUGAGCCUAGUGUUCCUGCAGGGCGCGCGCUCGUGCGGGCCUACCUCGCCUGACCCGCCACGCCCUGCCGCGCACAGGUACUGCAGCCUUGUGUAGUAGUGAGCCUAGUGUUCCUGCAGGGCGCGCGCUCGUGCGGGCCUACCUCGCCUGACCCGCCACGCCCUGCCGCGCACAGGUACUGCAGCCUUGUGUAGUAGUGAGCCUAGUGUUCCUGCAGGGCGCGCGCUCGUGCGGGCCUACCUCGCCUGACCCGCCACGCCCUGCCGCGCACAGGUACUGCAGCCUUGUGUAGUAGUGAGCCUAGUGUUCCUGCAGGGCGCGCGCUCGUGCGGGCCUACCUCGCCUGACCCGCCACGCCCUGCCGCGCACAGGUACUGAAGCCUUGUGUAGUAGUGAGCCUAGUGUUCCUGCAGGGCGCGCGCUCGUGCGGGCCUACCUCGCCUGACCCGCCACGCCCUGCCGCGCACAGGUACUGCAGCCUUGUGUAGUAGUGAGCCUAGUGUUCCUGCAGGGCGCGCGCUCGUGCGGGCCUACCUCGCCUGACCCGCCACGCCCUGCCGCGCACAGGUACUGCAGCCUUGUGUAGUAGUGAGCCUAGUGUUCCUGCCGGGCGCGCGCUCGUGCGGGCCUACCUCGCCUGACCCGCCACGCCCUGCCGCGCACAGGUACUGCAGCCUUGUGUAGUAGUGAGCCUAGUGUUCCUGCAGGGCGCGCGCUCGUGCGGGCCUACCUCGCCUGACCCGCCACGCCCUGCCGCGCACAGGUACUGCAGCCUUGUGUAGUAGUGAGCCUAGUGUUCCUGCAGGGCGCGCGCUCGUGCGGGCCUACCUCGCCUGACCCGCCACGCCCUGCCGCGCACAGGUACUGCAGCCUUGUGUAGUAGUGAGCCUAGUGUUCCUGCAGGGCGCGCGCUCGUGCGGGCCUACCUCGCCUGACCCGCCACGCCCUGCCGCGCACAGGUACUGCAGCCUUGUGUAGUAGUGAGCCUAGUGUUCCUGCAGGGCGCGCGCUCGUGCGGGCCUACCUCGCCUGACCCGCCACGCCCUGCCGCGCACAGGUACUGCAGCCUUGUGUAGUAGUGAGCCUAGUGUUCCUGCCGGGCGCGCGCUCGUGCGGGCCUACCUCGCCUGACCCGCCACGCCCUGCCGCGCACAGAUGGACAUGGGAACACUCUCGUCCUGCGAUUAUGAUGACUCCUAUAAAAUCAAAAGAUGGUUGUUUAGAUCGUAAUAGUAAUAGAUUCGCAUGUUCUAUAUAAACUGUUACUUAAUUUAUUGGGCUUACAUUAGAUGUAUGCGUUAAUAAGUAAAACAAAUUAACAAAAAAACAUAUAAAUCCAAAAAAUCUCUAAAAAUACUUGUAUAAACUGUAAAA